Molecule: ribosomal RNA, 407 nt
Filed under: uncultured bacterium
Lineage: Bacteria
Description: partial 16S ribosomal RNA
Rfam family: Bacterial small subunit ribosomal RNA
Source: RNAcentral
GACGAACGCUGGUGGCGUGCCUAAUACAUGCAAGUAGAACGCAGUUGCGAACGGGUGAGUAACGCGUAGGUAACUGCCUCAUAGCGGGGGAUAACUAUUGGAAACGAUAGCUAAUACCGCAUACUGUGAGAUGGACCUGCUUUGUAUUAGCUAGUUGGUGAGGUAAAGGCUCACCAAGGCGACGAUACAUAGCCGACCUGAGAGGGUGUACGGGCACGCGGGGAGUUGGAGGCGGCCAAGACUCCUACGGGUGGCAGCAGGAGGGAAGCUUCGGGAAUGGAGGGAAGUCUGACCGAGCAACGCCGCGGGGGUGAAGAAGGAAUUCGUAUCGUAAAGCUCUGUUGUUAGAGAGGCGGUGACUAACCGGAAAGGGACGGGUAACUACGUGCCAGCAGCCGCGGUAAUAC